Molecule: ribosomal RNA, 468 nt
Filed under: uncultured bacterium
Lineage: Bacteria
Description: partial 16S ribosomal RNA
Rfam family: Bacterial small subunit ribosomal RNA
Source: RNAcentral
GACGAACGCUGGCGGCGUGCUUAACACAUGCAAGUCGAACGGAAAGGCCCUGCUUUUGUGGUGUGCUCGAGUUGCGAACUGGUGAGUAACACGUGUGUAACCUUCCCUUUACUUUGGUAUAACUUCAGGAAACUUGGUCUAAUACCGGAUAGGAGCUCCUGCUGCAUGGUGGGGGUUGGUAAGUUUCGGCGGUUGGGGAUGGACUCGCGGCUUAUCAGCUUGUUUGUGGGGUAGUGGCUUACCAAGGCUUUGACGGGUAGCCGGCAUGAGAGGGUGACCGGCAACAAUGGGACUGAGAUACGGACCAGACUCCUACGGGAGGAAGCAGUGGGGAAUAUAGCACAAUGGGCGGAAGCCUGAUGAAGCAACGCAGCGUGAGGGAUGAAGGCCUUCGGGUUGUAAAACGAAUUCGAAUGUGAAGAAGAGUGAGUGACGGUAAUGGGUAAAGAAGCAACGGCUAACUACGUG